CUCUCUCAUCUCUCUCUUUUUUUCAAGCCUCAGAUCUCUCUCCUCUGUUCACUCUCCUCUCAAUCUCUCCUCAAAGAUGAAGGCAAUCACAUCCACUACCACCGCCGCAGCUGCAACCUCAUCCACAACCACCGCAACCACAAAUUCUCUCUCCCUUUUUCUGUUCUCCUCUAGCCGUCUUUUACCCUAUCAAUUGUUUUCUAGGGUUUAUCGCCAUUGUUAUACCUCUAUUUCUCAGAUCUAAUCACCUUCUUAUGCUAGUUUGAUCAAUCAACCAUGUAGACUGCGAUCUUAAUCGUGAUGAAAUUGCUCUGUUUUUAGGCUUCCUUGGUGCUGCUUCUUCUCUUGUUUUCGCUUCGAUUGUUAGGGUUUUGGUUUAUUUUUCAUGGCUCUGAAGAGAUCCAAGUAUAUGAGCUGAGUGUGGAUCUGGGAAGAAUGGUCUGCGAGGGUGGUCUAAUCCCCAAAUUCCUUCUUCAUGGAUGUUAAAUGCCAGGGAUGCUUCAACAUUCAAUCAUGAUGCAGUUUAGCGAGUCAUGGAGGGUUCAAAACCAAUACUUGACCUGUCUGUAGAGGUCGCAUCGAUUUCUGAGAUGUUUCAUCUCUUCGGAUUUCAUUUAAACUGUAGUGAAGAAGUUACUGAUUAUCCAUGGUGGCGGCGGCAACGUGGAUACGGUAAUGGUGGUGCUCAUAGAGAUGUCAAUUUUAUUGCAGUUUAAGACUUCUUAGGAGCAGCUACAACAACCACAACUUCCUGCUAGUUGUAGUGAUGACUUUGCUGUUAACAACCGCAACUCUUCUUACCUGGUAGGAAUGGUGAGUCUUGUUACUACUGUUUGCUGCUGUCGUUGCUCUUACUAAUGCCUACUGCUAGCACUGUUGUCUGCUAGCCUGGUACUACUGUAUGCUGUUAUUGCUACCUGCUGCUAUCUGCUGUUACUACGUUUACUAAUGCCUACUGCUGUCUGCUGGCCUGUAGCUGCUGCUAUUUGCGUGCUGUUACUACUAGCUACUGUUAUUGCUGCUGUCUCUUUGCUACUGUGCUGACUUAUGUUGCCUUUAGAGACCGAAGUUGAUUUUCUUUUUGUUUUGAUUAUUAGAUUGUUUAGCCAAACAAACAAAUUGGUGUUUAUGGAUUAUUUUAUGAAAUUAUGAAAUUGUAUCAAUUCAAAUUAUGGUCUAUCACUCUAUCGUAUAUUUUAGUUUCAUAUUC
Molecule: long non-coding RNA, 1210 nt
Organism: Chenopodium quinoa (quinoa)
Lineage: Eukaryota; Viridiplantae; Streptophyta; Magnoliopsida; Caryophyllales; Amaranthaceae
Exons: 7
Source: RefSeq, a predicted model, not a curated record